GAACAGAAAUUCCUCUCUCUCGUCUGUUUCUACAAGGAUUAACCUCUAGAGCCAGCAGUUUGAGCUCAGUAUUGCUUCAUUUUGCUUGCUGUUAAAGAUACAAAUAGAAUUAACUUGUUUAGAUUUUAGAAAAGAAAAGAAAAGAAACUACUCUUUGUUCUCAUAUUAACAUCACCUAUAAAACUGUCAUUUCUCCGGGCUGUUUUUUGGCGUAUGACUUUGCCAUAACUAUCCCUUCAGGCACCUCCAUGGGUGUCAUGUGAACUCUGGCAGAUUUCCGUAUUUGUUAGAACUUCUGGAAGACAUCAUCAAGUAGAAACCUUUCACCUCACUUUCCAACAACUGUCUAGGACCACUUCGCUUCACGUUGACUCCUCAACAUAGCACAUGAGGAUCACCUCCCAGGACGCCACCUCAGCAUGGCCUGACGAGCGGUGCCAUGUGCUCACCCAGGACCCAAACCAGCGAAACCCUGGGCCACCAAAGCGGAGUGCAGGAACUUAAGCACUCAGCCACGGGGCCAGCCCCAGUUGGUCUACUGGAGAUCGCUUACUUAACAAACGGAUAGCACAGCCUCAGAGUCAUCAGAUACAACAUCAAAUUCCAACAUAUUAAAAAAGGAAAGAAUACAUGUGACGGAAAUUACCUUUGCUUACAAAAACUUGUUACAUACAAUCUGCAUAUUUUUAUUGGACCAAGAACUGUACUCUCCAUUUACAAAACCCAGAGAGAAACCUGCUAAAGCAAAGCAAAUUGAGUCUGCAGUUUUCACCAAGAGGUUGAAGGACUCUUCCACGCCAAGAGCAGUGCUCCUGACGAUGAAGACGUGGAGAGGGUGCGGAGGGUGGCUGAGCACUGGUGAUUGUCCCACCUGAGCAUGAUGGUUCCCGAUUUGGGAACUAGCCGUUCCACCCCCUCUUUCACUAUGUGCCCGAAUAUAUUCAAAAUGUCGUAUACACAUACAAUGAAAUGCUUUUCAGCAUUAAAAAAAGGAAGACAUCCUGCAAUAUGCGACAACGUUGAUGAAGGGGGACGUGAUGCUCAGUGAAAUAAUCCAGUCACAGAAGCACAAAGGCUGCGUGAUUCCACGUGUAUGAUGUCACAGUGUGGAUCAGCAGGACAGAAGGCUGGGAGG
This 1135-nucleotide long non-coding RNA is filed under the name Equus caballus (horse). RNAcentral's name for it is "lncRNA (ENSECAG00000053988.1)". Lineage: Eukaryota; Metazoa; Chordata; Mammalia; Perissodactyla; Equidae. The record is from RNAcentral.